GGAAUAUUGCACAAUGGGGGAAACCCUGAUGCAGCGACGCCGCGUGAGUGAAGAAGUAUUUCGGUAUGUAAAGCUCUAUCAGCAGGGAAGAAAAUGACGGUACCUGACUAAGAAGCCCCGGCUAACUACGUGCCAGCAGCCGCGGUAAUACGUAGGGGGCAAGCGUUAUCCGGAUUUACUGGGUGUAAAGGGUGCGUAGACGGUUUUGCAAGUCUGAAGUGAAAGGCAUGGGCUCAACUCAUGGACUGCUUUGGAAACUGUGAGACUUGAGUGCAGGAGGGGUAAGCGGAAUUCCUGGUGUAGCGGUGAAAUGCUUAGAUAUCAGGAGGAACACCGGCGGCGAAGGCGGCUUACUGGACUGUAACUGACGUUGAGGCACGAAAGCGUGGGGAGCAAACA
Molecule: ribosomal RNA, 399 nt
Filed under: uncultured bacterium
Lineage: Bacteria
Description: bacterial SSU rRNA
Rfam family: Bacterial small subunit ribosomal RNA
Source: RNAcentral